This 440-nucleotide ribosomal RNA is filed under the name Salmonella enterica. RNAcentral's name for it is "partial 16S ribosomal RNA". It matches the Rfam family "Bacterial small subunit ribosomal RNA", at positions 531 to 970 of the family's 1533-position model. RNAcentral also lists the same sequence under 3 other names. Lineage: Bacteria; Pseudomonadati; Pseudomonadota; Gammaproteobacteria; Enterobacterales; Enterobacteriaceae. The record is from RNAcentral.
GGUGCAAGCGUUAAUCGGAAUUACUGGGCGUAAAGCGCACGCAGGCGGUCUGUCAAGUCGGAUGUGAAAUCCCCGGGCUCAACCUGGGAACUGCAUUCGAAACUGGCAGGCUUGAGUCUUGUAGAGGGGGGUAGAAUUCCAGGUGUAGCGGUGAAAUGCGUAGAGAUCUGGAGGAAUACCGGUGGCGAAGGCGGCCCCCUGGACAAAGACUGACGCUCAGGUGCGAAAGCGUGGGGAGCAAACAGGAUUAGAUACCCUGGUAGUCCACGCCGUAAACGAUGUCUACUUGGAGGUUGUGCCCUUGAGGCGUGGCUUCCGGAGCUAACGCGUUAAGUAGACCGCCUGGGGAGUACGGCCGCAAGGUUAAAACUCAAAUGAAUUGACGGGGGCCCGCACAAGCGGUGGAGCAUGUGGUUUAAUUCGAUGCAACGCGAAGAACC